Hippocampus comes (tiger tail seahorse) is the source of this 5106-nucleotide RNA transcript. It is a transcript of the gene named CUGBP Elav-like family member 2, with no coding region annotated. The record is from RefSeq and is a predicted model, not a curated record. Lineage: Eukaryota; Metazoa; Chordata; Actinopteri; Syngnathiformes; Syngnathidae. The transcript has 14 exons.
UGGGGAGCGAGCAGGCUUGCUCUCUCUUCUUCACAUGCGAUCGGACGACCAGCAAGAAGAAGAAGAAGAAGAAGAAGAAGCAGCAGCAGAAGAAGAACGCGACGCCCCCCCCCGCUACCACCACCACCUCCUCUUCUUCUUUCUCCUCCUCCCCCUCGUCGUCGUGUGUCUCUCGGCAGUCAGUCGGCACCUGUUCUCGCUCGUCGCCUGCUUUGCCUUCAUGCAAGUGAGCGCGGACGUGCUCUCUUUGCCCCCAUUGUUAGAUUAGACGGCUAUUUUGUAUAUAGAUAUUUUUUAAAGAAAGCACCAAGAGUAUGACUUCGACGUCGUAUAGCCUGGAUUACCUCCCGCUGACUGAUAGUCGGUUAAUGGCUGCGGGGGACACGAUCAACGGCAUGAAGAUGAACGGGUCGUCGGAACACUUGGAUCAGCCGGAUCCGGACUCCAUCAAGAUGUUUGUGGGCCAGAUCCCUCGCUCCUGGUCAGAAACGGAACUCAAGGAGCUUUUUGAACCCUUCGGAGCCGUGCACCAGAUCAACAUCCUGCGCGAUCGCACUCAGAACCCCCCUCAGAGCAAAGGAUGCUGUUUUGUAACUUUUUAUACAAGAAAAGCUGCACUGGAUGCCCAGAACGCCCUGCACAACAUCAAGACCUUAAGUGGGAUGCAUCAUCCUAUUCAGAUGAAACCAGCUGACAGUGAGAAAACGAGCGCGGUAGAAGACAGAAAACUCUUCAUCGGAAUGGUUUCAAAGAAAUACGGCGAGAACGAGGUCAGGAUGAUGUUCUCGUCCUUCGGCCAGCUGGAGGAGUGCCGAAUCCUGCGCGGACCCGACGGGCAGAGCAGAGGCUGUGCGUUUGUCACAUUUGCUACCAGGGCAAUGGCACAGAAUGCAAUCAAAACCAUGCAUCACUCUCAGACUAUGGAGGGUUGCUCGUCACCUCUGGUGGUGAAAUUUGCCGACACGCAGCGGGAUAAAGAGCAGCGCCGUCUGCAGCAGCAACUGGUGCAGCAGAUCCAGCAGCUCAACAGCGCCUCCACCUGGGGGAACCUGGCCGGUUUGGGCAGCCUCACGCCUCAGUACCUGGCUUUGCUGCAGCAGGCCGCUUCCACAAGCAACCAGAGCACUUUCAACAGUAUCCAGAGGCUAGGGGUGAAUCCGCUUCAGCUGCAGAAUUUGGCCACAUUAGCCGCGGCGGCUGCGGCGGCGCAGAGUUCCGGCAGCCCCACCUCUUCCAGCGGCCUGUCAGCCGCCACCAGUGCGCUCGGAGCUCUGGCCAGCCCAGCCGGCUCAACGGCGGGUUCCAGCGCCAGUGCCGCCAUGAACACGCUGGCGUCUCUGGGCACCCUGCAGGGUCUCACCGGGGCUUCCGUUGGCCUCAACAACCUCAACGCUCUCACCAGUGGCGUCGCCGGGAUGGGGGCCCUGAACGGAGGCCUGGGCUCGUCCAUGGCCAACGGCUCGGCGGCCAGUUCCAUGGACGCGCUGACCCAGGCCUACUCGGGCAUGCAGCAGUACACGGCCUCGGCCCUGCCCUCCCUCUACCCCCAGCCGCUCCUGCAGCAGAGCAUCCCCGGGCACCAGAAGGAAGGGCCGGAGGGCGCCAACCUGUUCAUCUACCACCUGCCGCAGGAGUUUGGGGACCAGGACCUCCUGCAGAUGUUCAUGCCCUUUGGGAACGUGGUGUCGGCCAAAGUGUUCAUCGACAAACAGACCAAUCUGAGCAAGUGCUUUGGGUUCGUCAGCUACGACAAUCCCGUCUCGGCGCAAGCUGCCAUCCAGGCCAUGAACGGCUUCCAGAUCGGAAUGAAACGGCUGAAGGUUCAGCUGAAGCGUUCCAAGAACGACAGCAAGCCCUACUGAUCCUCGCCCCGACCCCCCACCCCCCCAUCCUCCCCAGCUCUAACGCUAGCGAUGCUAGGAACAAAUCUCCAUGCCUGUUUGCUCAUCAUUAGCCUAGCAUGUCUUCACGAUGUUGAAAGGCAAAGGCGCGCUCCCCGCUGGUCUCCUCCUCCUCCUCCUCAUCCUCACCACCACCAUUGUUUGUGAUGUCUCUCUUAAGAUCGCCUGACCAAUACCUGGCCCCGCCCACUUAGCUCAACCUGACUCGUUUCUGCAUGCGUGUUCAUCAUUUGUCUUUUGUUUUGUAUUGAAAUGUGAUGAGAUGGGAGAGAGGUCAAGCGAAAGUAAUGUGAAAACGUACCUACGUUCUUUUUUUUUUCCCUGAAUAUUUUAAAAACCUGUGGGAUUUCUUAGUUGAGCUUUUUUUUUUUUUUUUUAAAUACCUCUCGGUAGGGUUAAAUACAGGGAUUGGCACGCCAGCUGUGCUAUUGGUGCCAUUAGCAAUAUGUUGAAGAAAGUAAAGGCUUGGAAACCACUUUUUCUUUUUUAAACCUUCCCUGAUCAGUUAAAAAAAAAAAACUGUUGGCGCUCUUGAAUGAGCGCUACAUUUGGCGGGCAGUGUGAAGACUUUUUUUUUUUUUCCCCUCUCUCCAUCAAGGUGAUUGAAAAUUCGAGUUUGUUUUCAUUUCGACAUUUUUUUUAUACUACCAAUGGCACAAUAAAAGGUACAUUUGCUCAGUUUGGAGAAAUGACUACCUACACGAGUCAACUUUUUUAGAACUGAUUCACAAAUAGACAAUCUGUGGUUGAAAUGCACACUUAGAUUACCUAUAUUUUGUACCAUUGAAUCUAUAGAGGUCUAACUAACAGAACCCAGGCAAAAACAUUGGGUUUGUUUUUUUUUUUUGUUUUUUUUUUUGGGUGUGUAGAUUUAUGUUGUAAUGUCAUCUGUGUUGGGAAAGGGGGGGGCGCUGUGGUUUAAAAAAAAAAAAGUUUUGACAGUCACUUCUACUCAAUUGAAACCACACUUGAAUUUGAAAAUUCCUCUGCAUCCAUUCGAAAUUUGUUUCAGGAUGUCUUUGGUACGUAUUGUUGAUUUCUGUGAAUGAUUAUGUACAGAUAAAUCUUCUUUUUUGUUUUUUCCAUUAAUAUGGAUGCUUUCACUGUUGUUGGAUGCCUUGUGUGAUUUCCAAUGUUUGUUAAUCAUACAGAUGAUAGCCAAUGUCUUUUGCUUUUCUUUUUCAAAGUGCCCAUGUGUCAAAAGUUUGGAUGCUCCACAACAAGCUCGAGUUUUGUUUUUUUGUUGUUUUUUUUUUUUUUUACAUGCGCACAGGCAUGUGGCGGUUUGUGCGCUCAUCAAUGCGGGAGCCCCUGAAGACGAGACCACUCACUCAACCCCCCCACCCCGCCCCUUGGGAGUUGUGACCCCCAAUUCCCACCACGCCUGUGUUGGUUUACAAAUACAUUCCACUGUUUCUGCACAAAGUUUACACUUGCCCUAAGGGUGAUUUUCUGUUUUAUUGUACCACACCAAAACAACCACUUCUAUAGCCACCCCCAACCCCUACCACCCCCCCACCCCCCCAGAUUUUUGCGCUAAUGAGUUGCCAACUCAGGGUAUUUCUUUGAUGUGUGAGAAACAAAAUUUAUGACACGUGUACAGCUUUAUUGGGUUUGUUUUUGUCACCUUGUCUGCAACCCCCCCACCACCACAAAACGAACAAGACCCCCCCCCCCAAAAAAAAAGUGCACAAAAUGCGCGUUGUCUUGCAAAGGAGCACUAAGCACAAAGACGGGAGCUUUUCUGGGGGCAAAAGUAGUGUGUGUGAGUGCGUGUGUGCGUGCGCGUAUCCCAAGAGUUUCUUUUGAAUGCUUUUUACGGUGUUUUUUCUAACUCUCGAUAUAUAAUGCAAUACAAUAAUUCAAGUGCCAUACACGUCUAGAAAACUGCCUACACAUCCUUAUCGGGCCUUGGUUAGAUUGCUGCACUUGGCCUUUUAUGUGUCACUUGCUUAAACGCCAAUCCCCCCCCCCACCCCACCCCCAAGAAUAUUUUGGGUGUCGUUAGUAACUGUAUUGUGUCGUGAAGCAUUUGUCGAUAAAAUAAACACCCUCAUAUAUAGAAAUAUAUAUAGCGAGAGAGAAAGAGAGAGAUCCAUUCACACGGCUCUAACUAUGAUACAUUGGCGGGCGUGAGCUCAUGCACUGAAAACACUUUGCGACCCCACCUGGACUCGAUCGGACGUUUCCAAGAACCACUUUGUGAGUCAAGCAUUGUGUUGUCUUUUGGGGGCGCGCGGCAAAGUGUUUAGAGGAGAAAGCACAAAUGUACCCGUGUACAGCCAGUCUCACUUCAGGGGCUUCCAUCACCAAAUGGCAGCUGCCAAACAAUCACUCCCCCCCGCUUUGAAUUCCUCAGCGCUCGGUUUUGGCACGGCGCGGUGGCUUUGCAUCCUCUUUCGAUCUUGUCUUCGGAAAAUCGGACGCACGCCGGUAUGUUAUUUCCUCGGCUGAUGAAUAGAAGUGUUCCUUUGUUUGGGGUGUCGAUGAAAAGCCAAAAAGUGGGUGCGUCUCGCUGUGAUCUUGUGUUGGUGAACGAGGGUGGCAUAUGAAGGAGGGUUAGGAAGAAAAAAACAAAACAAACAAAAAUCUGAGGCAUAUGCAGGCUUUUUCCAAUUUUUACGACUGGUUGUUCAUAAUGUCUUUUGUACCAGUGACGCUUUUGAUAUUGGAAAUUAAAAGGAAAGAAAUUUAAAUUGUCUGGCCUCUUUGACCAGGUCUUUUUUUUUUUUUUUUUUGCUUGUUGCUGUCAGGCUAUUAUUAUUAUUAUUAUGAUCACCGUUUUAUGUCUUUAAAACUAAAAAGGAAAAAAAAUUGCCUGGUUUUGUCUUUACUCUCCUCAAUUAGUUAAUCCAUUUCUGGGGGGGUGUGAUCCUCUAAAUGGUGGUAAGUUUCAUGUUAGUAUUUGUGCUGUCAUCUGGAUUUUUGACGUGCGGAUAAUUGUCUUAGUUUAAGAGUUAACCGUUUAGUUUGAGCCUUGCUUUAAAAGAAAACAUUUUUUUGGGAAAAAAAACAUUUGUGUAGAUUAUUUUGUGUGUGUGUGUGCGCGUGUGCUUUUUUUCCCCCUACUCCUAACCCCCCCCGCCCCUCCCAUAGCAGAGUGUGUAGACAAAAAAAAAACUCUGUUCUUCUUUUGGUCGCUGUUUGUUCAUAUGUGGUGUGUUUCUUUGCCUCUGUCUCCAAAUUAAACCAUUUCCCCCUAAUA